RNAcentral lists this ribosomal RNA (472 nucleotides) under uncultured bacterium. RNAcentral's name for it is "bacterial SSU rRNA". It matches the Rfam family "Bacterial small subunit ribosomal RNA", at positions 328 to 793 of the family's 1533-position model. The record is from RNAcentral.
CGCGAACACUCCUACGGGAGGCAGCAGUGGGGAAUAUUGCACAAUGGGCGCAAGCCUGAUGCAGCCAUGCCGCGUGUGUGAAGAAGGCCUUCGGGUUGUAAAGCACUUUCAGCAGUGAGGAAGGCGGAGUCGUUAAUAGCGGCCUCGUUUGACGUUAGCUGCAGAAGAAGCACCGGCUAACUCCGUGCCAGCAGCCGCGGUAAUACGGAGGGUGCGAGCGUUAAUCGGAAUUACUGGGCGUAAAGCGCAUGCAGGUGGUUUGUUAAGUCAGAUGUGAAAGCCCGGGGCUCAACCUCGGAAUAGCAUUUGAAACUGGCAGACUAGAGUACUGUAGAGGGGGUAGAAUUUCAGGUGUAGCGGUGAAAUGCGUAGAGAUCUGAAGGAAUACCGGUGGCGAAGGCGGCCCCCUGGACAGAUACUGACACUCAGAUGCGAAAGCGUGGGGAGCAAACAGGAUUAGAUACCCUGGUAG